RNAcentral lists this ribosomal RNA (620 nucleotides) under Bacillus tequilensis. RNAcentral's name for it is "bacterial SSU rRNA". It matches the Rfam family "Bacterial small subunit ribosomal RNA", at positions 77 to 681 of the family's 1533-position model. The record is from RNAcentral. Lineage: Bacteria; Bacillati; Bacillota; Bacilli; Caryophanales; Bacillaceae.
AGCUUGCUCCCUGAUGUUAGCGGCGGACGGGUGAGUAACACGUGGGUAACCUGCCUGUAAGACUGGGAUAACUCCGGGAAACCGGGGCUAAUACCGGAUGGUUGUUUGAACCGCAUGGUUCAAACAUAAAAGGUGGCUUCGGCUACCACUUACAGAUGGACCCGCGGCGCAUUAGCUAGUUGGUGAGGUAACGGCUCACCAAGGCAACGAUGCGUAGCCGACCUGAGAGGGUGAUCGGCCACACUGGGACUGAGACACGGCCCAGACUCCUACGGGAGGCAGCAGUAGGGAAUCUUCCGCAAUGGACGAAAGUCUGACGGAGCAACGCCGCGUGAGUGAUGAAGGUUUUCGGAUCGUAAAGCUCUGUUGUUAGGGAAGAACAAGUACCGUUCGAAUAGGGCGGUACCUUGACGGUACCUAACCAGAAAGCCACGGCUAACUACGUGCCAGCAGCCGCGGUAAUACGUAGGUGGCAAGCGUUGUCCGGAAUUAUUGGGCGUAAAGGGCUCGCAGGCGGUUUCUUAAGUCUGAUGUGAAAGCCCCCGGCUCAACCGGGGAGGGUCAUUGGAAACUGGGGAACUUGAGUGCAGAAGAGGAGAGUGGAAUUCCACGUGUAGCGG